ACGAGUGGCGGACGGGUGAGUAAUGUCUGGGAAACUGCCUGAUGGAGGGGGAUAACUACUGGAAACGGUAGCUAAUACCGCAUAAGCGCACAGUACCGCAUGGUACGGUGUGAAAAACUCCGGUGGUAUGAGAUGGACCCGCGUCUGAUUAGGUAGUUGGUGGGGUAACGGCCUACCAAGCCGACGAUCAGUAGCCGACCUGAGAGGGUGACCGGCCACAUUGGGACUGAGACACGGCCCAA
Molecule: ribosomal RNA, 242 nt
Filed under: uncultured bacterium
Lineage: Bacteria
Description: partial 16S ribosomal RNA
Rfam family: Bacterial small subunit ribosomal RNA
Source: RNAcentral